GACGAACGCUGGCGGCGUGCCUAAUACAUGCAAGUAGAACGCUGAAGGAGGAGCUUGCUUCUCUGGAUGAGUUGCGAACGGGUGAGUAACGCGUAGGUAACCUGCCUGGUAGCGGGGGAUAACUAUUGGAAACGAUAGCUAAUACCGCAUAAGAGUAGAUGUUGCAUGACAUUUACUUAAAAGGUGCAAUUGCAUCACUACCAGAUGGACCUGCGUUGUAUUAGCUAGUUGGUGAGGUAACGGCUCACCAAGGCAACGAUACAUAGCCGACCUGAGAGGGUGAUCGGCCACACUGGGACUGGGACACGGCCCAGACUCCUUCGGGAGGCAGCAGUAGGGAAUCUUCGGCAAUGGACGGAAGUCUGACCGAGCAACGCCGCGUGAGUGAAGAAGGUUUUCGGAUCGUAAAGCUCUGUUGUAAGAGAAGAACGAGUGUGAGAGUGGAAAGUCCACACUGUGACGGUAUCUUACCAGAAAGGGACGGCUAACUACGUG
This 495-nucleotide ribosomal RNA is filed under the name uncultured bacterium. Its description in RNAcentral is "partial 16S ribosomal RNA". It matches the Rfam family "Bacterial small subunit ribosomal RNA", at positions 28 to 507 of the family's 1533-position model. The record is from RNAcentral.